GGAGACCUACAAGUAAUACAUAUAGGUAUAUAGUUGAUAUGAAUGAUAAAUUGUAUUGACAUUUAACUAGGGUUUUAAUUAAAAGAUAUUUAAGUUAAAUAUUUUCCAACUUCGGCUACAGGGAAUCCCUCCUAGUCCGGUUUUUGUGAAAUCUAGAAAAAUGAUAUUUCUGAACCCGAUUAGCUAUGCAUAAUAUAUACACUCAAACUGUAAUUGAUACAUUCGUAGAUAUUUGGAUGCAAUGGUUUAACCGCUCGACCAUGGCAGCCGCCAAUUAGAAAGUAUCCAAGCAUAUUUCAUGCGUGCGAAGAUAAACUCGCGGAAGUAAAUACUAUUGCAAUAAGAAACCCAUAGUUCUAAGAUAUACCUAGGUUAUGUCGCCGCCGUGCAGGAAAAAUUUAGAAUGUUCGUUGAUUUCAGGGCAGCUAAGCAAUUGAAAAAGUACUUGUUGAAGAAGUGGUGGCGCCAUCUGGCUAGGGCGGGUCAGUAAUAGAGAUAGUGUCCAAUAUUAUCCACCUCUUCCUGUUGUUGUUGUUGUUGUUUUAACGGCCCUACUAAGCCUAAGUGGAUUCCACAUCCCACAUGGUAUUUAUCUCCCCAAGGAGUUCAGCCUUUAAUCUGUGUAUGCAGUAGGUUAGAGGUAUGCCCCGAGCAGAGUUGAUAUUUCCGUCCCUCUCCUUGCUAGCUAGUCGGCUAAGCAUUUGCCAGGAAUGUCACAUGCCACAGUCAAGGAGCAUAACUGUUAGAUGUCAAUGGUUAGAUUCCUGAGUAGAGGGGAGAGAACCCCCUUGGGGAGUGCGUCUUGUUACAUGUUUAAUUUUGGAACGAUCCUCAGUUCUGAAAUAAUAAUUCUCUGUCCGAGCAGGAGGCCAACGAAAUCCAUCAGUCCCCGGUGCACCCCCACCCUAUGAAAGGGAAUUAAUAACAGCUUUAGGAUAGGACAAAAUUGAAGGCUCGCUCGAUAUUUAGAGAAACUUCCAGCCUGUAUUUCUUUAUAGUCAGUACUUUUUCAAUUUUCUAUACGAUUUCAUUAAGCGGGGCCUGCGCGGAUUGUUUCUAGGAUUUUCAAAAGAAACGAAGUGAGGCUUAUAGGCCUGAAAUAUUUCGAUUUCACAUGAACGGCCCUUCGUCUUUGUCCACUUGUAUGGUAUGGGAGUUAGGGUUAGACAGGCUGUAAAAAUCUGAUAAAGCAGAGAGCACAUCUGCUUUUAGGUCCGCGGGAAAGAUUCCAUCAAGUCCCGGAGAUUUGUAGGGUUGGAGAGACAUUGUAUGAAAUUACGACUUUAUCAUAAAUUACGAUGUCCGUAACGGUAUUGCCUGGGUAGGACUUGUUCCUUGGAACGCGCGAAUUAUCGGAGGUAUCGUCAAAGCACGCCGGGAAGUGAGUGCUCAUAAGAACUUCCAGCAUUCUGUUACAUGAUGUCUCCUGUCACCGUUAGGCUUCUGGAUGGAAUUCAUACUCGCAACCUGUUGUCUUCACAGUUUUUUUCUAUGUUGUUGCAAAAGUUUUACCAAGAUUCGUCCUUCUGUUCUUCCUCAAUGCAGAAAUCUCAGAAUUUGCGUUACUUAAGCUCAUAAAGAAACUUUAUUUCCUCUUUACUUUACUUCCUGAGAUAGCAAAUAGAUUGGCCAGCCUGAUUUGACCCUUUGCUGUCACUAGAAAAAAAAAAAAUAAUUCAAACAAUAUAAGAGAGAGAAGAGGUGGUACCCUAUAGGACUACGCCGGGGAAAUAUAUUUACUGUGUACUGAAGAGAUUUCAACUUAUACUUCACCAGCCAAAGAAGAAACUGAAACUAGCAGAGAAGCGGUCACCGUAACUUAGUGCUUGAGCAUGCAUCCUAAAACUCGGUAGGGCACAGCAAAUGUGGGAGAACCAUUUUCACAAAGUAUCCCGCGUUAUGAUAAAGGACUCGAAGCGUUACGAUCCCCAUCAGUGGCUGCCGGCUAACUAAUUUAUUUCUUGCCGUGCGGAAGGAGGACGGUAGGAACUUCAAUCACAUCCAGCUUAUGCAUGACGUGGACAGCAUCAGAGG
Molecule: long non-coding RNA, 2034 nt
Filed under: Rhagoletis pomonella (apple maggot)
Lineage: Eukaryota; Metazoa; Arthropoda; Insecta; Diptera; Tephritidae
Description: uncharacterized LOC118746067, transcript variant X1
Source: RNAcentral